CCCUACGGGGGGCAGCAGUGGGGAAUAUUGCACAAUGGGGGAAACCCUGAUGCAGCGACGCCGCGUGAGUGAAGAAGUAUUUCGGUAUGUAAAGCUCUAUCAGCAGGGAAGAAAAUGACGGUACCUGACUAAGAAGCCCCGGCUAACUACGUGCCAGCAGCCGCGGUAAUACGGAGGAUGCGAGCGUUAUCCGGAUCUAUUGGGUUUAAAGGGUGCGUAGGCGGGACGGUAAGUCAGCGGUAAAAAUGCGGAGCUCAACUCCGUCGAGCCGUUGAAACUGCCGUUCUUGAGUGAGCGAGAAGUAU
Molecule: ribosomal RNA, 305 nt
Filed under: uncultured bacterium
Lineage: Bacteria
Description: bacterial SSU rRNA
Rfam family: Bacterial small subunit ribosomal RNA
Source: RNAcentral